CCUACGGGAGGCAGCAGUGAGGAAUAUUGGUCAAUGGCCGUAAGGCUGAACCAGCCAAGUCGCGUGAAGGAAGAAGGAUCUAUGGUUUGUAAACUUCUUUUAUAGGGGAAUAAAGGUAUCCACGUGUGGAUAUUUGCAUGUACCCUAUGAAUAAGCAUCGGCUAACUCCGUGCCAGCAGCCGCGGUAAUACGGAGGAUGCGAGCGUUAUCCGGAUUUAUUGGGUUUAAAGGGUGCGUAGGUUGUUUUUUAAGUCAGCGGUGAAAGUUUGUGGCUCAACCAUAAAAUUGCCGUUGAAACUGGAAGACGUGAGUGUGUUUGAGGUAGGCGGAAUGCGUGGUGUAGCGGUGAAAUGCAUAGAUAUCACGAAGAACUCCGAUUGCGAAGGCAGCUUACUAAGCCAUAACUGACACUGAAGCACGAAAGCGUGGGGAUCAAACAGGAUUAGAUACCCCAGUAGUC
This 460-nucleotide ribosomal RNA is filed under the name uncultured bacterium. RNAcentral's name for it is "partial 16S ribosomal RNA". It matches the Rfam family "Bacterial small subunit ribosomal RNA", at positions 338 to 795 of the family's 1533-position model. The record is from RNAcentral.